This is a small nuclear RNA of Manis pentadactyla (Chinese pangolin), 184 nucleotides long. RefSeq annotates it as U2 spliceosomal RNA. NCBI's taxonomy places the organism in Eukaryota, Metazoa, Chordata, Mammalia, Pholidota, Manidae. The transcript has a single exon. The record is from RefSeq and is a predicted model, not a curated record.
AUGUCUUCUCAGGCUUUUGGCUAAGAUCAAGUGUAGUAUCUGUUAGUAUGAGUUUAAUAUCUGAUACAUCCUCUAACCAAGGGCAACACAUUAAAUAGAUUUUUGGAGCAGGUGGAUGGAAGAGGAGCUUUCUCCAUCAACCUGGACUCCCAGAAUGGGGCACCCCUUUGGAGGGGAAAAAUAA